This 253-nucleotide ribosomal RNA is filed under the name uncultured bacterium. RNAcentral's name for it is "partial 16S ribosomal RNA". It matches the Rfam family "Bacterial small subunit ribosomal RNA", at positions 524 to 776 of the family's 1533-position model. The record is from RNAcentral.
UACGAAGGGGGCUAGCGUUGCUCGGAAUCACUGGGCGUAAAGCGCACGUAGGCGGAUCGUUAAGUCAGGGGUGAAAUCCUGGAGCUCAACUCCAGAACUGCCUUUGAUACUGGCGACCUUGAGUUCGGGAGAGGUGAGUGGAACUGCGAGUGUAGAGGUGAAAUUCGUAGAUAUUCGCAAGAACACCAGUGGCGAAGGCGGCUCACUGGCCCAUAACUGACGCUGGGGCACGAAAGCGUGGGGAGCAAACAGG